UACGUAGGGGGCUAGCGUUGUCCGGAAUCAUUGGGCGUAAAGCGCGUGUAGGCGGCCCGGUAAGUCCGCUGUGAAAGUCGGGGGCUCAACCCUCGGAUGCCGGUGGAUACUGUCGGGCUUGAGUGCGGAAGAGGCGAGUGGAAUUCCUGGUGUAGCGGUGAAAUGCGCAGAUAUCAGGAGGAACACCAAUUGCGAAGGCAGCUCGCUGGGACGUUACUGACGCUGGAGACGCGAAAGCGUGGGGAGCAAACAGG
RNAcentral lists this ribosomal RNA (254 nucleotides) under uncultured bacterium. RNAcentral's name for it is "partial 16S ribosomal RNA". It matches the Rfam family "Bacterial small subunit ribosomal RNA", at positions 524 to 776 of the family's 1533-position model. The record is from RNAcentral.